Molecule: long non-coding RNA, 333 nt
Organism: Neogale vison (American mink)
Lineage: Eukaryota; Metazoa; Chordata; Mammalia; Carnivora; Mustelidae
Exons: 3
Source: RefSeq, a predicted model, not a curated record
UGGCGGCCGGUGUGUAGUGGUCGGUCCGCGAUGGCUGGGUACGUGGAGCGGUGCCCCGGUUGGUGAUGCGACACCUGCGAGCUCUUGGCUCCACCAUUGAGUACCCUGGUGACCCUGGGCAAGUUUCCUAAGAGCUCUCUGCGUCUCCUCUGAGAGAAUUCAACCCACAGAAUGCCCACCCCUCGGACCGAACCUGCGGACUCUGGUUGAUGGUGACGUGUCCAUGUAGGUUCAUCAGCUGUAACAAAUGUACCAUCUGGUGGGAGAUGCGAAAGCUGGGGUGGCUGUGAGUUGGGGGGAUGGGGUUUAUGGGAAAUCUCUGCACCUUCUCCU